This 1323-nucleotide long non-coding RNA is filed under the name Anser cygnoides (Swan goose). RNAcentral describes it as "lncRNA (ENSACDG00005008488.1)". Lineage: Eukaryota; Metazoa; Chordata; Aves; Anseriformes; Anatidae. The record is from RNAcentral.
AUGUCGUGGUGGUGGUAUUGUGGUCGUGGAGGUGGUAUCGUGGUCGUGGAGGUGGUGGCGUGGUCGUGGUGGUGGUAUCGUGGUCGUGGUGGUGGUAUUGUGGUCGUGGAGGUGGUAUCGUGGUCGUGGUGGUGGGGUCGUGGUCGUGGUGGUGGGGUCGUGGUGGUGGUGGUGGUGUCAUGGUCGUGGAGGUGGUAUCGUGGUCGUGGAGGUGGUAUCGUGGUCGUGGAGGUGGUGGCGUGGUCGUGGUGGUGGUAUCGUGGUCGUGGUGGUGGUAUUGUGGUCGUGGUGGUGGUGUCAUGGUCAUGGAGGUGGUAUCAUGGUCAUGGUGGUGGUAUUGUUCUCAUGGUGACGGCAUCGUGGUCAUGGUGGUGGUAUUGUGGUCAUGGAGGUGGUAUCGUGGUUGUGGUGGUGGUAUCGUGGUCAUGGAGAUGCUACUGUGGUCAUGGUGGUGGCACUGUGGUUGUGGAGAUGCUACUGCGGACAUGGUGGUGGUAUCGGAGUCAUGGAGAUGCUGCCAUGGUCGUGGUGGUGGCACCAUGGUCACGGUGGUGGCACCGUGGUCAUGGUGGUGGUAUUGUGGUCACGGAGAUGCUACCACGGUCACGGUGGUGGUAUUGUGCUCUUGGUGGUGGUAUCACGGUCAUGGAGAUGCUAUCAUGGUCAUGGUGGUACCGAAGUCAUGAAGAUGCUACCAAAAUCACAGUGGUGGCACUGUGGUUGUGGAGAUGCUGCCGUGGUCAUGGAGGUGGCACCGUGGUCAUGGAGACGCUACGAUGGUCAUGGAGAUGCUACCACGGUCAUGGAGAUGCUACCGUGGUCACAGUGGUGGCACAGUGGUUGUGGAGAUGCUACCAAGGUCAUGGUGGUUGCACCAUGGUCGUGGAGGUGCUACCCCGGUCAUGGUGGUGGCACCGUGGUCAUGGCAACGCCGCUGCAGUGAUGGCACUGCCACCACGAUCCCGGCAAUUCUCCCAUGGCCGUAGUGACGCCACCACGAUCCUGGUGAUGCCACCAGGGCCACGGCAACGCCACCACGAUCCUGGCAACACCACCACGGCCAUUCUGAUGCCACCACAGCCCCGUCAUCGUGCCCAACCCAUUGGACCCCCUAUCCAUGGCUUCUCCCAACCCUGGUGGCCCCCAACCUUGGCGUCCCCGUGGUCCCCAACACCCACGUGUCCCCCUCCCCGCACCCAGGCAUCGCGCUGGAGCGGGUGUUCGAGUACAGCGAGUACUGGGAGGCGGCACGGGCGCUCUACGCCGCCUUCGANNNNNNNNNNNNNNNNNNNNGUGGUGGUGAUGUCGUGGUGGUGGUGGUGA